Dreissena polymorpha is the source of this 756-nucleotide long non-coding RNA. RefSeq lists it as uncharacterized. The record is from RefSeq and is a predicted model, not a curated record. Lineage: Eukaryota; Metazoa; Mollusca; Bivalvia; Myida; Dreissenidae. The transcript is spliced from 3 exons.
GUCACUGAAUUUUCCCAGACAACAUAUGUUCUGCAAUCGUGUGGCAUUGAUGAUUUCGUUUUUGGAAUCAUUUGGCAGAUAUGUUAAGAUGUAUGCAUAUGUAUCGCAUGGAUGUUUAAAUUUUUCCAGACUAUUGAUGAUGAGGCUCAUGAAGAUUAUCUGGAGGAGGGGACGAAGAGAUGAAAGACGGCGAGGAUGCCCAACAAAAACAAUUCAAGUAACGUUUCAAAACCCGGAGCGUCACCAACAAGUGCUUGUAACGAAAAAGGAGGAUCUGUCGGAGAUGAGAAAGUUGGAAUUAAACAAAAAAAUAUCAUUGAGGAAGAAAUUAAAUUCAACAACAGGAGAGAACAUUACUGUGUGUAAAACAGAUGGUGGUUUAAAAAAACAAGAUAAAUAUAGAAAUGCAUGAACUAGAGAAAACAUGAGGAGAAGAUUAUUGAACUUGUAAACAUUUGAAGCAUAAAUAUCAAAAUAUCUAUGUGUACGACUACAUUAGACAUUAACGCAUAGACAUAUUUCAUGGACCAGGAGGGGGACUUAUUAUGUAUCUUAAAAAAACUAAAUAUUUUUUAAGAGACGAUUAAAUCUUGAAUCUUCUGAUAUUUAGUAUUUAUGGUUGCAAGUAAAUUUUGAACAGGAUAAAUAACAUCUAUGUUUUGUACAUCGAGCUCCAAAAAGUCCACAGUUUUGGAUAGAUGGAAUCGAUGAAUAUAUUAUUGAAUUAGAUGAACCAUCUUUCUUCAAUGUUUAGUU